Molecule: ribosomal RNA, 113 nt
Filed under: Aeromonas salmonicida
Lineage: Bacteria; Pseudomonadati; Pseudomonadota; Gammaproteobacteria; Aeromonadales; Aeromonadaceae
Description: partial 16S ribosomal RNA
Rfam family: Bacterial small subunit ribosomal RNA
Source: RNAcentral
ACUUAAAUUGAAGAGUUUGAUCAUGGCUCAGAUUGAACGCUGGCGGCAGGCCUAACACAUGCAAGUCGAGCGGCAGCGGGAAAGUAGCUUGCUACUUUUGCCGGCGAGCGGCG